UGGAUGGCGAGUUUGAUCCUGGCUCAGGAUAAACGCUGGCGGCGUGCCUAACACAUGCAAGUCGAACGCCCUGGCUGACUUCGGUCAGCCAGGGAGUGGCGGACGGGUGAGUAACACAUGGGUACCUACCUUUCAGUGAGGAAUACCGGCGAGAAAUCGCCGACAAGACCGCAUAGGCUUGAGGAGGGAGACCUCUGCAAGCAAAGCUCUUUUCUGAGGGCACUGGAAGCUGGGCCUGUGGCCGAUUAGCUAGUUGGUGGGGUAAACGCUCACCAAGGCGACGAUCGGUAGCUGGU
RNAcentral lists this ribosomal RNA (296 nucleotides) under Chloroflexota bacterium. RNAcentral describes it as "Chloroflexi bacterium partial 16S ribosomal RNA". It matches the Rfam family "Bacterial small subunit ribosomal RNA", at positions 1 to 291 of the family's 1533-position model. Lineage: Bacteria; Bacillati; Chloroflexota. The record is from RNAcentral.